Molecule: long non-coding RNA, 809 nt
Filed under: Physcomitrium patens
Lineage: Eukaryota; Viridiplantae; Streptophyta; Bryopsida; Funariales; Funariaceae
Description: long non-coding RNA (PPAT_LNC011550)
Source: RNAcentral
UGAUUCAUAUCAACAUUUGUGGGCCCUUUCCCACAACGUCUCUCAAAGGCUCAAACUACAUCCUGGUCAUAGUCGAUGACCACAGCCGUUUUACUUGGGUGUCGAAUUCACGUGCUGCUUUGCUAGAAUCCUAUUCUCACAAAGAACCUACGCCACCCAGAUAUUGAAGGAGUUCGGUAUGCAGGAUUACACUCCAUCCUCUACACUGAUGACAGAAGGGCUUAACCGCAACAGGGAGCAUGACUCACCACAAGUGGAUGCGAGGCGAUUUCAAAAGCUUGUAAGAAUGCUCAUUUACUUGGUAAACAUAAAACCCAAAAUUACUUUUGCCACUGGAGUACUCAGUAGAUUCAUGCAUGACCCUUGAGUUCCGCAUCUGCAAGCUGCAAAUCGAAUUCUUCAAUACACAAAUGGCACACUAGAACUUGGAACCUUCUAUGAACAAAACCAGAACUCAACUAUUCUAGGCUUCACAGAUUUUGACUGGGCUAAUUGUAAAGUCAACAGAAAAUAAGUCACCGGCUGGGUAUUCAAAAUCAGCAAGGAGACCGAUCUCGUGGGCAUCUAAAAAGCAACACAACAUUGCAAUUUUAUCUAUAGAUGCGGAGGCACGAGCACUGGCAGAAGGAAUCCGUGAAGCCAUCUAGCUUUAAACUCUAGCUUCCAGAAUUCAUGGAACGGAUGAAGAACCCAUAUUCAUCUUCUGCAACAAUCAAAGCACUCUCAAAUCUCCUCGCAAUCCAGUACGUCAUGACAGGUCCAAACACAAUAAGAUGUAGUUAUAUUACAUAUUGGAACAUGCACUCAUU